RNAcentral lists this ribosomal RNA (504 nucleotides) under uncultured bacterium. RNAcentral describes it as "partial 16S ribosomal RNA". It matches the Rfam family "Bacterial small subunit ribosomal RNA", at positions 29 to 523 of the family's 1533-position model. The record is from RNAcentral.
AUUGAACGCUGGCGGCAGGCCUAACACAUGCAAGUCGAGCGGUAGCACAGAGAGCUUGCUCUCGGGUGACGAGUGGCGGACGGGUGAGUAACGUCUGGGAAACUGCCCGAUGGAGGGGGAUAACUACUGGAAACGGUAGCUAAUACCGCAUAACGUCGCAAGACCAAAGUGGGGGACCUUCGGGCCUCACACCAUCGGAUGUGCCCAGAUGGGAUUAGCUAGGAGGUGGGGUAAUGGCUCACCUAGGCGACGAUCCCUAGCUGGUCUGAGAGGAUGACCAGCCACACUGGAACUGAAGCGCGGUACAGACUCCUACGGGAAGCAGCAGUGGGGAAUAUUGCACAAUGGGCGCAAGCCUGAUGCAGCCAUGCCGCGUGUAUGAAGAAGGCCUUCGGGUUGUAAAGUACUUUCAGCGGGGAGGAAGGCGGUGAAGUUAAUAGCUUCACCGAUUGACGUUACCCGCAGAAGAAGCACCGGCUAACUCCGUGCCAGCCGCCGCAGUAA